UGGGGGAUAUUGCACAAUGGGCAAAAGCCUGAUGCAGCGACGCCGCGUGGGGGAUGAAGGCCUUCGGGUUGUAAACUUCUUUUGCUCUGAACAAGGCAUGCCUUUGGGGUGUGUUGAGUGUAGGGGUUGAUUAGCGCCGGCUAACUACGUGCCAGCAGCCGCGGUAAUACGUAGGGCGCGAGCGUUGUCCGGAAUUAUUGGGCGUAAAGGGCUUGUAGGUGGCUGGUUGCGUCUGUCGUGAAAGCUCAUGGCUUAACUGUGGGUUUGCGGUGGGUACGGGCUGGCUUGAGUGCAGUAGGGGAGGCUGGAAUUCCUGGUGUAGCGGUGGAAUGCGCAGAUAUCAGGAGGAAUACCGGUGGCGAAGGCGGGUCUCUGGGCUGUUACUGACGCUGAGGAGCGAAAGCGUGGGGAGCGAACAGG
Molecule: ribosomal RNA, 420 nt
Filed under: Fusobacteriota bacterium
Lineage: Bacteria; Fusobacteriati; Fusobacteriota
Description: Fusobacteria bacterium partial 16S ribosomal RNA
Rfam family: Bacterial small subunit ribosomal RNA
Source: RNAcentral